RNAcentral lists this transfer RNA (70 nucleotides) under Dipodomys ordii (Ord's kangaroo rat). It matches the Rfam family "tRNA". Rfam says of the family: Transfer RNA (tRNA) molecules are approximately 80 nucleotides in length. Their secondary structure includes four short double-helical elements and three loops (D, anti-codon, and T loops). Lineage: Eukaryota; Metazoa; Chordata; Mammalia; Rodentia; Heteromyidae. The record is from Rfam by way of RNAcentral.
GGGAAUGUGGCUUAGUGGUAGAGUGCUUGCCUUGCAUACAUGAAGCCCUGGGUUCGAUUCCUCAGUACCA